This is a small nuclear RNA of 97 nucleotides. Its record names the gene U2. It matches the Rfam family "U2 spliceosomal RNA". From Rfam's summary of the family: U2 is a small nuclear RNA (snRNA) component of the spliceosome (involved in pre-mRNA splicing). Complementary binding between U2 snRNA (in an area lying towards the 5' end but 3' to hairpin I) and the branchpoint sequence (BPS) of the intron results the bulging out of an unpaired adenosine, on the BPS, which initiates a nucleophilic attack at the intronic 5' splice site, thus starting the first of two transesterification reactions that mediate splicing. The record is from Ensembl.
AUCGCUUCUCUGCCUUUUGGCUGAGAUCAAAGUUAGGAUCUGUUCUUAUCAGUUUAAUAUCUGAUAUUAAACUGAUAAAGCACUGUCCCCACACACU